RNAcentral lists this ribosomal RNA (378 nucleotides) under uncultured bacterium. Its description in RNAcentral is "bacterial SSU rRNA". It matches the Rfam family "Bacterial small subunit ribosomal RNA", at positions 30 to 407 of the family's 1533-position model. The record is from RNAcentral.
AUUGAACGCUGGCGGCAUGCUUUACACAUGCAAGUCGAACGGUAACAGGGUGCUUGCACCGCUGACGAGUGGCGAACGGGUGAGUAAUGCGUCGGAACGUGCCGAGUAGUGGGGGAUAACGCAGCGAAAGUUGUGCUAAUACCGCAUACGUACUGAGGUAGAAAGUGGGGGACCUUCGGGCCUCACGCUAUUCGAGCGGCCGACGUCUGAUUAGCUAGUAGGUGAGGUAAAGGCUCACCUAGGCGACGAUCAGUAGCGGGUCUGAGAGGAUCGAUCCGCCACACUGGGACUGAGACACGGCCCAGACUCCUACGGGAGGCAGCAGUGGGGAAUUUUGGACAAUGGGCGAAAGCCUGAUCCAGCCAUGCCGCGUGUCUG